GCCCUUUUCCGGUUGAUCCUGCCGGAGGCCAUUGCUAUCGGGGUCCGAUUAAGCCAUGCUAGUCGCACGGGUUUAGACCCGUGGCGGAAAGCUCAGUAACACAUGGCCAAACUGCCCUGUGGAUCAGGAUAACCUCGGGAAACUGAGGCUAAUUCUGAAUAAGGCUCACAUCUUGGAGUAGAGUGAGUCUGAAAUGCUACGGCGCCACAGGAUGUGGCUGCGGCCGAUUAGGUAGACGGUGGGGUAACGGCCCACCGUGCCCAUAAUCGGUACGGGUUGUGAGAGCAAGAGCCCGGAGACGGUAUCUGAGACAAGAUACCGGGCCCUACGGGGCGCAGCAGGCGCGAAACCUUUACACUGUGCGAGAGCGCGAUAAGGGGACCCCGAGUGCGAGGGCAUAUAGUCCUCGCUUUUCUGGACUGUAGGGAGGUCUAGGAAUAAGAGCUGGGCAAGACCGGUGCCAGCCGCCGCGGUAAUACCGGCAGCUCAAGUGAUGGCCGAUUUUAUUGGGCCUAAAGCGUCCGUAGCCGGCCAGACAGGUCCGUCGGGAAAUCUGCACGCCCAACGUGCAGACGUCCGGCGGAAACCAGCUGGCUUGGGGCCGGAAGACCCAGGGGGUACGUCCGGGGUAGGAGUGAAAUCCUGUAAUCCCGGACGGACCGCCGGUGGCGAAAGCGCCCUGGAGGACGGACCCGACGGUGAGGGACGAAAGCUAGGGUCACGAACCGGAUUA
RNAcentral lists this ribosomal RNA (733 nucleotides) under uncultured archaeon. Its description in RNAcentral is "bacterial SSU rRNA". It matches the Rfam family "Archaeal small subunit ribosomal RNA", at positions 1 to 731 of the family's 1478-position model. The record is from RNAcentral.